Non-coding RNA from Zootermopsis nevadensis, 488 nucleotides. Lineage: Eukaryota; Metazoa; Arthropoda; Insecta; Blattodea; Termopsidae. The record is from RefSeq and is a predicted model, not a curated record.
AUAAUAGGGUCUUCGUUGAAAUGAGACCAUUUGUAAAUCUGUCACUACAAUUGCUAGUCUACUGAUAACAAACAGUUCAAAAGACGAGUUAAAACUGAAGAAGCAAUGUUUUCUUCCGUGUAACAUCUCUUAUAGCAAUCUUGUAUUCCUCUAUCCAUUAAUUUGUUUCUUUUUAUACAGAUAAAGAAGAGAUCGUGAAUGAACUCCCAAAAACAUAUCAAGCGACAUUCCACUCAGUCUCCUGUAGUGCAGGACACCAUUAUAUCAGGGGCAGUGUCAUCGUGGUUCAACGAUUAGGUGACCUGAUGGCCGCCAGAGGGAUACUACGUCUGUCAAUGACAUAGUAAACAGUGAUUUGCAGAAACGAACAGACAAGUCGGGCAAACACCACAGCGCAUGGGCAGAGAAAUUGUUUUAAGAUCUGAUACCCUCUGGGACGAAAACUGUAACUUGUUAAUUAUGUAAAAAUAAACAAUCGUCUUAUCACA